UCCAGCCCACUGUUCGGAUUUUGUAAUAAUGAGUAAGAUUAAACAUUCUCUAAAUUAAGACCAUACAUGUGUCUCCAAACCUAGUCCUUUCCCAAGGUUUGGAUUAUAAGUACUGGUGAUAAAC
Molecule: small nucleolar RNA, 124 nt
Filed under: Jaculus jaculus (lesser Egyptian jerboa)
Lineage: Eukaryota; Metazoa; Chordata; Mammalia; Rodentia; Dipodidae
Description: Small nucleolar RNA SNORA72 (ENSJJAG00000008819.1)
Rfam family: Small nucleolar RNA SNORA72
About the family: U72 is a member of the H/ACA class of snoRNAs.
Source: Rfam by way of RNAcentral